RNAcentral lists this ribosomal RNA (322 nucleotides) under uncultured eukaryote. RNAcentral's name for it is "partial 18S ribosomal RNA". It matches the Rfam family "Eukaryotic small subunit ribosomal RNA", at positions 1470 to 1796 of the family's 1831-position model. The record is from RNAcentral.
CCCUUAGAUGUUCUGGGCCGCACGCGUGCUACACUGAGUGGAUCAGCGGGUCAGGUUGCGCGAAAGCGUUUCCUAAUCUUUAAAUCCGCUCGUGAUGGGGAUUGACGGUUGCAAUUUUCUGUCAUGAACGAGGAAUACCUUGUAAGCGCGGGUCAUCAUCCCGCGCUGAAUACGUCCCUGCCCUUUGUACACACCGCCCGUCGCUCCUACUGAUUGGGUGUGCUGGUGAAAUGUUCGGAUCGGCCGUUUGUCGCGGUUUCCGCGUCAUGUGGCUGAGAAGUUCAUUAAACCCUCCCACCUAGAGGAAGGAGAAGUCGUAACA